CGCGGCCUAUCAGCUUGUUGGCGGGGUAACGGCCCACCAAGGCAACGACGGGUAGCUGGUUUGAGAGAACGAUCAGCCACACUGGAACUGAGACACGGUCCAGACUUCUACGGAAGGCAGCAGUAGGGAAUCUUGCGCAAUGGGCGAAAGCCCGACGCAACGACGCCGCGUGCGGGAUGACGGCCCUAGUGGUUGUAAACCGCUUUCAGCAGGGACGAAAAUGACGGUACCUGCAGAAGAAGUCCCGGCUAACUACGUGCCAGCAGCCGCGGUAAUACGUAGGGGACAAGCGUUGUCCGGAUUCAUUGGGCGUAAAGAGCUCGUAGGCGGUUCAGUAAGUUGGGUGUGAAAGCUCCGGGCUCAACCCGGAGAGGCCACUCAAUACUGCUGUGACUAGAGUCCAGUAGAGGAGCGUGGAACUCCUGGUGUAGCGGUGAAAUGCGCAGAUAUCAGGAAGAACACCGGCAGCGAAGGCGGCGCUCUGGGCUGGUACUGACGCUGAGGAGCGAAAGCAUGGGUAGCAAACAGGAUUAGAUACCCUGGUAGUCCAUGCCGUAAACGUUGGGCACUAGGUGUGGGGAGGAAUCAACCCUCUCCGUGCCGUAGCUAACGCAUUAAGUGCCCCGCCUGGGGAGUACGG
RNAcentral lists this ribosomal RNA (640 nucleotides) under uncultured bacterium. RNAcentral describes it as "bacterial SSU rRNA". It matches the Rfam family "Bacterial small subunit ribosomal RNA", at positions 232 to 885 of the family's 1533-position model. The record is from RNAcentral.